CCAUUUUCCUCUCUUUUUCCUUCAUUCAGACUAUGUAUUGGUUCAAUCAGGUGAAGAAUGUGGCAGAAAGAGAACUAUCUGAAGUAUUUAGGCAGACUGGCUCAUAGACCACCAGAUAUAAGAUUCCAGUGUCCUAUGUAUGGCAUAGAAUUCACAGAGAGCUCUGCUAAGAAACAUACUGGAACACUGCCACUUAGAGGUGCUCUUCAUGGUUCUGGGUGUCUGGAACCAUGGCCCAACUAGGGGCUGGAAUGGGUUCUAGAGUUAGAAAGUAAACUGUCAAAUAUUUUGAGGCCAAGCAAAAUGGGACCUGAAUUUAGUCAAGAUUCUUCCCUCUGUAGGUUCUUAACUUCUCUUUUUUAAGAGUAUUUGCUUUGGAAAACUUAUAAUUAUAAAUCCUUUCUCUGCAAAUGGAAAUUGUCUACAACCUAGGAAUGUCUUUCUUUUUCUAUUUAUUUACUUAUUUUUAUUUUUGGUUUUUUUGAGACAGGGUUUUGCUUUGUAGUUCAGGCUGGCCUUGAAUUCAUGUAGCCCAGGCUGGUCUCAAACUUGUGGCAAUACUCCUGCCUCAGCCUUCCAAGUGCUGGGAUUACAGGUGUGUGCCACCAUGCUUAGGAAUGUCUUUCCUAAGGAUCUGGGAAGCAUCUCUUCAACAUGUAAUCAGGAAAGACAGGGCCCUGUGUUUCCCUCUGUAGGAGGGAAGGGCCUAACUUGAUCAAUAACAGCAGAUAGAGAUGAGCUAAACACAUUAAUCAACUCCCUCCAACAUUCUCUGGUACUUUCCCACUAGUUUACACUAAUCCUGCCUUUCAUCUCAGUGGAGUUGGGUUCAGUCCUUCUCCCCAAUUGCUUUAGUCUCUCUUCCCUAUUACAAUAGUCUGUUUGUUUGUUUGGUUUUUACUUUAGGAAUCAGAUAUUUUACUAAAGUUUUAGUCUCUCUUAACUUUCCUACAUUCUCCUACCAAAACCAAACAUAACAUCAAAACCACAAUAAAUAAAUAAAAUAGUAGGAAAAAAAAACCCACCCUGUGUACUUUAAAAAACUUUUUUGAGGUGGGAGCCUUGUUGUUGUUCAUGCUGGUCUCCAACUCAUACACUCAAGUGAUUUUCCUGCCCACAACAGUCUAUUUGAAUAAAGUUUUCCAGAGCAAUACCACCCUACUCAAAAUGAAUCAAUUAAGCUAAUAUACAAAAUUUUAACUUAUUGCACAGUUCAUUUUGUGUUCUAAAAUUCAUAAUCUUUAAAGAUCGAAACAUUUCUCCUCUGCUGUUUCCUAAAAUCCUGACAUUUUGCAUAUUAGGGUUAAAGAAUAAACUAUUUCUUUAAAUACCUGUUUCCUUUUUGGUACUGGGGAACGAACUUGGGACCUUACUGUCAGAUAAAAGGGCCGAAGACCAAGACCAGACCAGGCCACAACAAGCCUUUAUUAGGGGAAUAGAUCUGCUGGGCUGUCUCUGAACAAAGGAGAGACAAAAGCAAUAUGGCUGGGGCAGGGAGAGUCUUUUAUAGAGACUGGGGUGGGGCUUGUAGGGGCUGAGGCAGGGUUGAGUGAGGUAGUGACUAGGGAAUGGAGGAGCCGGUAAUGUCACUAGGUGGUAGGAGGUGAGCAAGUAUUAGGUUACUGUCUAGGUUGGAACAGGGGCAUGCUGGGAAGAAGGGUUUGUUCUUUGGUGGUAGGAGGUGAGCAAGUAUUAGGUUACUGUCUAGGUUGGAACAGGGGCAUGCUGGGAAGAAGGGUUUGUUCUUUGGUGGGAGCAACCAUCUUGGCAUGAUGUCACACAGGGGAGGGGGCAAGGCACCAUAGGAAGAGGGCAGCUACUAUACUUAAUAGCUGCUGAGGUGGUGGGAGACCUAUCACUUACA
Long non-coding RNA from Heterocephalus glaber (naked mole-rat), 1864 nucleotides. Lineage: Eukaryota; Metazoa; Chordata; Mammalia; Rodentia; Bathyergidae. The record is from Ensembl.